GGUGGCUCAGUGGUAGAGUGCUUGCCUUGCAUGCACGAGACCCUGGGUUCGAUUCCUAGCACCA
This 64-nucleotide transfer RNA is filed under the name Dipodomys ordii (Ord's kangaroo rat). It matches the Rfam family "tRNA". Rfam says of the family: Transfer RNA (tRNA) molecules are approximately 80 nucleotides in length. Lineage: Eukaryota; Metazoa; Chordata; Mammalia; Rodentia; Heteromyidae. The record is from Rfam by way of RNAcentral.